AUUGAACGCUGGCGGCAGGCCUAACACAUGCAAGUCGAGCGGAUGAAGGGAGCUUGCUCCUGGAUUCAGCGGCGGACGGGUGAGUAAUGCCUAGGAAUCUGCCUGGUAGUGGGGGAUAACGUCCGGAAACGGGCGCUAAUACCGCAUACGUCCUGAGGGAGAAAGUGGGGGAUCUUCGGACCUCACGCUAUCAGAUGAGCCUAGGUCGGAUUAGCUAGUUGGUGGGGUAAAGGCCUACCAAGGCGACGAUCCGUAACUGGUCUGAGAGGAUGAUCAGUCACACUGGAACUGAGACACGGUCCAGACUCCUACGGGAGGCAGCAGUGGGGAAUAUUGGACAAUGGGCGAAAGCCUGAUCCAGCCAUGCCGCGUGUGUGAAGAAGGUCUUCGGAUUGUAAAGCACUUUAGGUUGGGAGGAGGGCAGUAAGUUAAUACCUUGCUGUUUUGACGUUACCAACAGAAUAAGCACCGGCUAACUUCGUG
Molecule: ribosomal RNA, 483 nt
Filed under: uncultured bacterium
Lineage: Bacteria
Description: partial 16S ribosomal RNA
Rfam family: Bacterial small subunit ribosomal RNA
Source: RNAcentral